RNAcentral lists this long non-coding RNA (3516 nucleotides) under Trifolium pratense (red clover). RNAcentral describes it as "long non-coding RNA (TPRA_LNC006718)". Lineage: Eukaryota; Viridiplantae; Streptophyta; Magnoliopsida; Fabales; Fabaceae. The record is from RNAcentral.
CUUAAUCUCUAUUUAAUUAAUAUAUAAGUUGAGACAAUAUACAAAAAAAAAUGCAAUGUACAUACUUUAAUAGUACACGAUACAAUAGAAAUUGAGAUAAAUAUAUCAUGAAUAUACAAUAGAAAUUGUGUCUAUCCUAGUUGCACUCAGGCUUUAGCUAAUCUUCCACAAACUCUAGAGUUUCCUUGUAGUUGGAGAACUGGUACAAUAUCAAGCUCGUGUUGAGCUUUUCUGCUUGUAUAUGGCACAUUAUGUGCACUAAUUACUUGGUAUUGGAUAUAAAGUCCUGACCUAUUUAAUCUCAUGCUUCAUGUGUUACCUAAAAUUNNNNNNNNNNNNNNNNNNNNNNNNNNNNNNNNNNNNNNNNNNNNNNNNNNNNNNUUGCUCACCUAAAAUCACUCUUUAAGGUCGCAGUCCCGUUGUCGAGAUGAACUAAAUAAUAAAUUUCAAGCUUGAUAUUGAAAGCUACUCCCAUAUUUCCCUUCAGCGUGUAUACACUUUAACCAAUAGAUCUUGAAAGACAUCAACAACUGUUGAACCUCGCAAUACAACAUUGUGAAAUCAAAGAGUACACACAUUAAAUUAUGGAGACUUUAAGUAACUAAAAAAUCUAAUAUGCCUCUUUGGAAUAUUGGCAGGAUCUUCCUUUAUAACCUUCGCCUAUGAAAUAAUCAUCUAUUUUGUACCCCCCCAUUGCAUUGCAUUACACUGUCCACUAUACCAUAUUUAAAAAAAUAGAAUUUAAAAUAUUUGAUCGGAUACAUCAAAUAUGGAAGUCUCCACUUUGAAUUUGGUGCCUCUGGCAGCUUGAACUUGAAGGUGUGCCAUGUGUUACCUGCAAUGAUGUGUCCAUUUACAAACAUAGUUAGCCACAACUCUCAACCUCACCAUUGAAAGUUAAAAUGUUUAUUAAAGUUAAAAGUUAAAAUGUUUAAUCAAGAAACAUACAUACAUGCUUAUUAUAGUUGCAGCCACAUGAUUAUGUGGUUAAAAAUUAUGCAGGCUGGAUCUUGGAGUUAUAACAGAACUGAAAAGUGGUUCCAAGUGCUCUUUAAUUUGUAAAAACAUUUUCAAAGUUAAUUCAAGAAUAUUACUUUCAUCAAAGAGAAUGAAACAAUGGUAACACUUUCUCAGCCCUGUCAUAAACAAUCCAGUUUAGAAUACAAUCUAAAAGGCUCAUUGACAUUAUGUAAGUGCUCACAUCCAAAUCCAUCAAAUUUCAUUCAAGCACUUUCCACAUUUUCAUUUACUGUUGCCCAAUUUAUGAUCUUUUUUUUCAUAUCAGAAAACUGAUAAUUGAAUGCCCAAUAAUUUCAAGAAACUAAAAAUUAGGUAAAUAAUCUUUUUACUUGAUAAUAGAUUAGGGAAAUCUCCGAAUAAUGUAGAGAAGUUCAAAAAACCAUUCCAGGAUCAACAAAAAUGAACUUAGAAAAGAGGACUCGCCCAUUUAAGAACCACCAAAAUCAUUACCAAAUCCUCAUUUACAAAUUAAGACAUCGGCAACUGCAACAUACAGAGCAACAUAGCAUCAAUGAGAUUGGUAGCAGAAUCAAAUCAAACAAAUAAAGAACCAUAGAAAGCUUAAUAAUCACUAUAUAAGCACUUUGGCUUUUAUGUUCCAACACUAUUUACUUGAUUGCUUGCAAAGUGAAGUCUUUCUUUUAAGUGAGGCCUUAAAUAUUCAAAGUGAAAAAAUCAUUCAUAAAUUUAUAAGAAAGCGAAAGUUAUAGAAAUAUUCAUAAACUAAAAAAUAAUAUAAGAAUUAGUUUUUGCAUCAAUCAACAUUUCAUAUAAUAUAUAUGCAUAAAUUGUGAUCCAAUGAAUCACCAAUAAAAAUCACAAUGCAACUUCGUAAAAGUAAUCAACAGUUACAACAUAACUACAUGUCUUUUCUCAAUGCAUAUUUAUCUCAUGAAUGACCAUUAACUUAAACAGAAUAAAAAAUCACAACUUUGAUUUAUAGUUAAAUAGUUAAAUUCAUAUGAAUGAAAGAUCUAUAUAAUUGAUGUACGAUAAGAAACUAAUAGAAGUUGGAAUCAGCAUGUUUCUUUCAAUGUGGUCAUGUUAUAAGUAGGUAAUUACCUUGAUUAAAAACUAUACCAUAAACAGAUUAGUGGAAAGUACACACACUUCUUUGAUAUAACUUUUUUAAGCUUGUGUAUUAAAAUAAUGAACAAAGUGAAAGCAUUAGACACUUCCAUCUGCACAUGAAUUAGAAGCAUUUCAGAGGCAAAGGUUUCAAAAUAAAUAAGGAACCAUAAAUAUAUUAUAAGCAUAAGUCUAUAACCUUACUUUUGAGAAGCAUGCAAUUCCUCAAAAUUAGGACCUCGAGCAAAUUUCUACCAAUGCAGCUGCCAAGUUUCCUGAGAGAAGAAUUCAACUAACAAAUUUAGGACCAGUAUAAGAAAGAAACACACUACUAUAAGAACUCAGCAGACCACCUCUAAAAGAAGCUUCAUGUAAAUAACAAAUCAAAAUAAGAAAAACAUAUAGUAGUUAUCAAACUCUAAUUCUAAAACAAAAAAGUAAAGCCAAAGAAAUACAAAAUUAGGGAUUAGAAAUACAAAUGAAAUAAAAUAGAUGGCUAUUAAAAAUUAGGUAUUUUGAAAAAGAAAGAGUAUACCCAGAAUCAAACAAUAACAUUGUCGUCGUUGGGCCGUGUGCUCUGCUUCAUCGAUCUUUGUCGUCGUUGGGUUUGUGAACCUGAACAAACAAUAACAUUCCCAAAAAAAAAAUUAAAAAUCAGAAUAUGAAAUUAAAUCAUGAAAUAAGGAAGGGAUUGAGAAGCAAGUUAAAACCUUUCUUAUUGACAAAGCUGAAGAAGCAUAUACCCAAAAUUUGAGGAAAAAAGUUGACAACAUAGAAAACCAUAUCAAAAACACGACAAAGAUAAACGUUGUUUUUGAAAAAUUUUGGAGGGGUUUUUGAAAUUUGAAAGCAUGAUGCAUUAGUCAAAGUUUGCAGAGAACACUUAGUUUUUCACCAAAAUGGAAGUUUUUGUUGAAGAUGGAGAGAAAGAAGACAUCAACAAAGCAGAAAGGGAAGAGAAAGAUUCUUUCCUUUUUCUUUUUUUAAAUUUUUUUUCUUUCUUUUUUCUGUUAUAUUGAAUUUUAAAAUUUGCAAAAUACAUUCAAUCAAACUAACUUAUUACUUAUAAAAAAGUUUAUAGAUAUAGAUUGAAUCUGAAAUAAAAAUUUUGAAAUAAAAAAUCUUAUUAAAAGUAAUAGUAUAUCGGUUUGGUUUUCUCCUCAAUUAAAGUUUACAAAUACUAAAUAAAACAAAUUAAAAUUGAUAUAAAUCUAAAAAAAAAAAUCUGAAAUUUAACAAAAUCAAUCAUAUUAUUGCGGUGGAGAAAAAAAUCCCACUAAAAACUCCUAAAAAGUAGGGAUUAUUAGCUAAAAGAUAAAAACAAAUCCUAAUAAAUAUGACAACUAAACAACAAUAUUUUUUAAAAAAUAGAAAGAGGCAAAUAGAAAAAUAUGCUAAUCUAAAUUGAUAAGGAAAAACUUUUCACGN